Molecule: long non-coding RNA, 10095 nt
Filed under: Trifolium pratense (red clover)
Lineage: Eukaryota; Viridiplantae; Streptophyta; Magnoliopsida; Fabales; Fabaceae
Description: long non-coding RNA (TPRA_LNC001822)
Source: RNAcentral
GGUGAACAAUGAAGAUAACAAGAAUAGUACUCAAAACUCAAUCAUGCCAAGGGACAAAUAUCCAAAACCAAUCAUUUUUCAUGAUGGAAGAUUAGCAUUCUUGCCAACACCUUCAGCAACACUCUACAUGUUCAUGUGGCUACCAUUAGGAUUUUUUAUAGCAAUUUAUAGAAUGCUUAUUGGUAGAUUCUUGCCAAUCAAAUUAUCACUUCCAUUAGGAUGUUGGACUGGAUUAGAUCUAAACCUCAAAGGCACUGACCCUAAAAAAACAGAACAAAACAGAGGUGUUCUAUUUGUAUGCACACAUAGGACACUAUUAGAUCCUGUUUUCCUAAGCGCGCUAUUAUUAAGACCUUUAACAACGGUAACAUAUAGUUUAAGCAAAGUUUCCGAGUUCCUAGCGCCGAUGAAGACAGUGAGGUUAACACGAAAAAGAGAGCAGGACGCCGAAACAAUGCAAAAAUUACUAAGAGAAGGUGAUAUAGUCGUUUGUCCCGAAGGAACAACUUGUAGAGAACCAUAUUUGUUAAGGUUUAGUUCAUUGUUUGCCGAGUUAGCUGAUGACAUAGUGCCUGUGGCAGUGUAUAGUCAUGGCAGCAUGUUUUAUGGUACAACAGCAAGUGGAUUGAAGUGUUUGGAUCCUAUAUUUUUCUUGAUGAAUCCUAAACCUAGUUAUCAUAUUCAAAUUCUUGGGAAGGUACCUAAGGAACUUACAUGUGCUGGUGGAAAGUCAAGUGUUGAAGUGGCUAAUUAUAUUCAGAAACAGUUGAGUGAUGCUUUGGGAUUUCAGUGUACAAAUUUAACUAGGAGGGAUAAGUACAUGAUGCUUGCAGGGAAUGAAGGGAUCGUUCAACAAGUUAAUUCCAAAAAAUGCUCUUGAUGAACAUAUAUGCUUUUUUAAAAAAAGAUUAGUCAAUCUUUUUUUGUAUACUAGUUUUCUUUUGGUCUUGUUUGUUAUCUUGAUUAUGACAUUUAUGAAUUGUGAUUUUAAUGAAAUGAAAGUGAAUUGCAUAUUCAUGUACAAUGUACUUCUACUUCUUGUCCUCAACCAGUUGAACUGUGAAUUGACAUUGCCUAUGGUUUGGUUGUGUGACUAGUUCAAUAAAAGAUGUUGAAUCUCAAGUAAAAAUAAUGGUGGAAGUAGUCACAAGAAAAAGAGGUUUAAAUUGUGACUCUUCUAAAAAUUGUUUUUCAGAAUCAUUUUGGUAUGUUGGUUGAUAUGAUUCUGAUGUAUAAGUGAAUGAGGACAAAAGUGUAUACAACUCCAUAAUCAAUCUGAUAUGCUAACUAAUAUGAUUCUGAUAUAUGUGUGAUUAUUGCACUGAAGUGUAUAUGACUUCAUAAUUAAUUUGACUUAUAUGAUUAUGAUGUGUGUAAAUCUAUCUAUAAUAAAAAAGAAAGAUAGAAGAUUUAAACACACAAGAUUUAUUCUGGUUCAUCCAAUGUGGGUUGCUCCAGUCAUCCCAAAUGUGAGAGUUCGGUAUGUUUUCGUGACAACCUCUCAAAUUAUGCAUAAUUCUUUUUAUGACCUAGACAUACCUUAGCGGUCUGUUUGUUUGAAGAGAAAUAGGGAAGAGAGAGAUAGAGAAGAGAGAAAUAGGAAAGAGAUGAUGACUUUCUCUUGUUUGAAAUGAAGAGAAAUAGGGAAGAAAGAUUAUAAAAUGGUGGGUUCCAUUGCCUUUUGUUUUCUCCUUGAGACCGCGAAGAAAGGGAAGAGAAGUGUUGUUGUUCCAAUUUCACCCAUGUAUUUAAAUCUUGGUCUUAUAUUCUCAUUUACAAUCUAUAAUUAUUUCUGUAAAUUACAAAAAUGGCUCUUCAAUAUGAAUUUUUUAUUUUUUAGAAAAAAAUUCAUGAACAAUAUGAAGAAUAAUACGCAGGAAAAGUUGCAAAAAAACGCAGGAAAAGCACUAUUGGAGAGGAAAGGAACUGAAAGUAUCAAUUGCUGGUCAAUGAACAAUAAGGAAAUCAUUUAAAAAAAUACAAGGGCAAUCCAAUCACCAAAGCAAAUCAUGGGUGAAGAGUGAAGACAUCGUUUUUUUUUUAUUAAUUAAAAUCAAUUAAAAAAAUACAAGGGCAUUAUUGUACUUUUGAAAUUAAACAACAUUUCUCUCUCUUCUAUUUCUCUUCUUUUUCUCUUAAACCAAACAAUACCUCAAAUUCUAUUUAUCACUUUUUUUUCUCUCUUCUCAAACUCUUUCUCACAUUUUUUUCUCUUCUCAAUUUCUCUUCACAGUCAAACACACUCUACAAGUAUGAGUCUGAGAUGGAUAAUAUUCUCUAACUUUUUUGAGGAAAAGUCAUGUGACUUUGUGAUGUAUGAGUCAUGUGACUUUUAUUUACCAGGAUUAGCGCUUGUUUUUCCUUCACGCUUUUGUACAUGCAAGAGAAGCUCUUUAUCAAGAUGAGAACUCGAGGUCGAGUUCUUUUGAGGUAGAGGAGACUGAUGUAGGACGAUUUCUUCAAUAUUUUAUUAUUUUAGUUAGAUUUAGUUUUAUUAUAUUUUAGGAAGAUUUCUUAUUUUUAUAUUUCACCUAGAUUAGUUAUUUUUAUAUUUUAGGUAGAUUUGUUAUUUUUAUUUAGCUAUGUUUGUUAUUUUUAUUUUUACAAUCUUUUAGAAGGUUUGUUAUUUUUAUUUUUUUACUACUAUUUAAGCUAAACUAUUAUAGUCUUGAAGGCAAACCUUUUGAUUCAAUAAAAUAUAGAGAAUUUUCUCAAAUUUGGUGGAUUCCAAAUUAUUCUUUCUGGUGGAUUCCAGAACUUUUAUCUAACAGGAUUAACGCUUGUUUUUCUUUCACGCUUCCGUACUGCGUCACUUUGUCUCUAUCUCUCUCCUCUUUUAUCUUCUCUCUCAUCUGUUCCCUCCAAAAUUUAUUCAUAUUUUUACAUUAUCUUAUUCCCUCCGGUCCUUAAUAUAAGAAAUGAGAAUGUUAACAUGUGCCCUUAAGUUGCAAAAAUAGAAAUUAUUAAAUUUUAAUUUGUGCAUUUUAAGUUUUGAAGCAUUAAAUUUCUUGUAUCUUUAAAUGUUGAGUUUUUAUAUUGGGAUAUCUUAACAUGUGUCAUUAACAAGACCCUAAUAUAAGAAAACUUUCACUUUUUAAAUACAUUGAAACAUUGAUGUAUCUAGACUAUAUUGCUCCAAAAUUGAAGGACCCGAAUUCUUAUACUAGAGACCAAAAGAUAAUUCAGCCUUUCAACCAUACUUAAAAGGAAACUAUAUUUUUUUUUUUAAAAAAAGAAGUUGAAUUAGUAGAUUUUCUUUAACAAAAAUGUUGUGUAUCUCGAAAGAGGAACGCUUAAUAUAGCGAAAAUGAAUAUCACGAUUUUUUCACGAACAUGUACCACAAGCAACAAAAACAACCGACUUGCAUUAUUUAGUUAAUUCAACUCGCUCAUUUUUCUUUUUUGAGGAAAAUUCAACUUCACUAUUCAAAACGGUGUGUGUUUGGUUUUGUAUAACCUUUCUGGCACUCUAGAAUGCUUCCAUGCUUAUGAUGUUGCAUACCAACCACCAAGUGUCAUUUUUUGCCACAAUAAUAAGAAGUUCCACGUCGGUUGUGUGAUGGCCUUGACAAGUGUUUAUAAGCAAGUGACAAUCCUCACCUUACAAGCCGAUUUUGUAAGGAUGAGUUAGGCUCAAUACUCAUUUCUAAGAUGGUAUCAGAGCCUCUCCCCGAUCCGUUGAGCCACCUAUUAUCAGGUUUCCGCUAUCGGGCCACCCACCGUUUAUAUCCACACACCAAGUCCAAUAGUGUUGGGCGUGAGGGGGUGUGUUAAGAAGUCUCACAUCGGUUGUGAGAUGACAUUGACAAGUGUUUAUAAGCAAGUGACAAUCAUCACCUUACAAAUUGGUUUCGUAAGGAUGAGUUAGGCCCAAUACUCAUUUCUAAAACACGAAGUUGUGAAACGUGAUUAAAGAUGGUUUAAUCUGUUUAUAUAGUGAUAAAGUGCUUCCAUGCUUAUGAAGUUGCAUACCAACCACCAAGUGUCAUUUUUUGCCACCAAGUUAUGAAACGUCAUUAAAGAUGGUUUAAUCUGUUUAUAUAAUGAUAAAGUGCUUCAUAUGCUAGCAAUUCAAGUGAGAUAUCAAUAUGAAAACAUGUACUAGUAUUCCUGAAAAAUUCGUGUGAAAUACCUUCGCGAGAUAUAACAGAGCUCAUCUCGAAAUAUAAGUUUCACAAAAAUCACUCAAGUUUUUUACUAUUGAUUAAAAUUUUGACCGACCUUUAAUUUUUUGGAACAUUCGCGUUGCAAUCAUUUCGCUCUACAUAGUAGUACUCUUUCUUUAAUAGGUAGAAGUCAAACUCGAUACUCAAACACAAUUAAGCCCUGUACAUGUGCUUCUCAUUUCUCAAAGGAAACAGAUUUCCUGCUGUUUGGUUUCCCACAGUUUUCACGCUGUUUUAAAUUACAGCCGUCCGAUCUAAACUGUGUGAUCAAGAUAGAUUUAAGUGAUUUUAUAACUGUGUUGAUCUGGAUCGUCCGAUUAACAAUCAACGGCCAGAAUCAAAACUGCGUGAAAACUGCGUGAAAAAUUACUGCAGCAAAUCUGCAUCCUUUCUCAAACACAAUUUUGGCAAUAUUAAUUUUAUUUUAUGAAGCAAUUUUGGCAAUAUAUAUUAAUGUCAUAAAUUUAUAUGGUUUCAUCUAUUUUAAAUAGAAGUGACAUAAAUAUGACUAUCUUGUUUUGCCUAAUUUGUUAAAUCUAACUCAACCGAAGAAACAUGUUUGAAUCUUAAUACACCCCAAUUCACUGUAUUGUAUGAUUGUUGUAGGGGACCCAAAUCCCAUAGAUAAUACUUUCACCGUACCAAAAUAUAAGUCAUUUUGACGCUAUUAUAUAAAUUAAAAAAUAUAAUUAAUGUUAUAUGAAAAAGAGAAAUUAUGAAUUAGUUUACAAAAUUAUCUUUUAUUAAUAGCAUGAAAAAAAUAAAUUGAAGAGUUGAAGAAAAAAAAUAGAGUAAUAAACAGUUAAAAGUAUAAUAGAAAAAAUUAAUAACAGUAAAUAUUUCAUUAGUAUUGUAAUGUGACUUAUAUUUUAGUACAAUUUUUUUUCUCAAAGCGACUUAAUUCUUAUAUUUUAGUACGUAAAAUUGAGCGGAGGAUACUUUACCACUCCUUACCUCACCAUUUAAAAUAUUCCUCAACACCGUCCUCAUUCCCUGCUUCGGUGAGUAUUCUUUCUUCAUCCUCAUCUCUGCGGAGAUCCAUCAACCUUGAAAAAAUAUCAAAUUUCUAUUAUUUUCAAUAAGGUAAUCGUAAAAAAAUAGUAAAGUUUAAUUAUAAAAUAAAUAAAAAUAUUAAAAUAUUUUAUAAAUUACUCAAGUAUACAUUUAUAAAUAUUAUUUUAAUAAAAAAAAUUGGGGACGGGAGUCUCUGCAGAGUGGGAGGUAAAAUUGUCCCCAUUUUCAAUUUUCCUCCAUCUCCAUAACAAAAAAAAAAAAAAAACUCCAUGAAAUGACAUCCUUAAGUACGGAGGUAGUAUUUGCUCGAUGAAAAUUAAAGAAUACAGUACUACUCCUAUCGACAAGUAUUUAAGUGUGAGUAAUUACCUCUCACACAUUUAAUUAAGCAACUAACAUCAUAACUAUUAACUGAUCCACUUCAAGUAUGAUCAAUAACAGCCUUGCGAAUGUGUGAACAAAAGUCAAACUUAACUUAAAGAUAUCUAAUUGUCAUUUGGUCAAUUUGAGUAAUUUGAAUGUUAUUUUUUUUAUUAUUAUCGAUUUUAGUUAUAUUUAUAUAUUGUGCAUUUAUACAUAUAUUUAAUUUUAAAUUUAAUUUUUAAAUAACGUAUCUCAGCCGUAUUGUAUUGGGAAUUUUGAAAAAUUUACCGUAUUGCCGUAUCAGUGUCGUAUUGUAUCGGUAUCGUAUCAUGUAUUGGAGCUUCAUAGAUUUUGACCAAAGAAUAUUAUAAAAAUGGUUAAUUCAAAAGUCAAUUUAUCCAAUGAUGUGGGUUAUCUAACUCUCUAUUGGCUCAUAUAUAUGGACACAUAAACAGCAAAAGAAAAAUGGAAUGAGAAUUUGUUUGAUGAAUCAAUCCUUCAAUCACUCUAUAAAUAUUAAUGCCAACUGUGUGGUAAUGCCAACUGUGUGGUUAACCAAAUGCUUCAAUCACUCCUUUAAUGACUCUAUAAAUAUUGGUCCAACUUGAUUACCAUCACUACAAAAUUGAUAGAGCAGCUAAUAGGAGUUGGCACUCACAAAACCAUUCAUUUAUUAAAUUAUCAUCUAUCCGUUCCAAAAUUUAAGUUACUUUAGCCAAAUUGCACAAAUUAAAAAAUAUAAUUAAUAUUGUAUGAAAAAGAAAAAUUAUGAGUUAGUUUACAAAAUUAUUCUUCAUUAAUAGUAUAAGAACGAUAAAUUGAAAGAAGAGAGAGUGAUAAAUAGUUAAGAGUAUAAUAGGAAAAAUAACAUUAAAUGUUUCAUUGCUAAUGUAAAGUGACUUAUAAUUUGGUACAAAUUUUUUUCUCAAAGUCACUUACAUUUUGGAACGGAGGGAAUAUCAUUUAUGUUAUAAAAAAAUAUUUAAUUAACUAAUAUAAGAUGUUAUAUUUUAUAAAAAAAUCUGAAACACUUUAAAAAAUUUCAAAAAAAUAUUAAUAAAACAAAAACCAUUAAAUAUAGUGCAACGCAAAAAACGGCAUGAAAAACGGACGUCUCUAAUCCGCGAGUGCGCUUUGUACACCCAUAAAUAUUACUAUCUUUACACUCUGCUCUUCGCCACAUAUACACACAUUUCCAAUUCCUAUCCUUAAAGAGAUUUUCUAAGGCUUGUAGAUUUUGUUUUGUACCAGCUACUAGCUAGUUCAUAUUAUAGAGCUGCAAGAAAAAUGAAAAGUUAUGGUUUUAAUUUAGCUUAUCUUUCAUCUAAACCACCUCAUCAACCUUGUUCAUUUCCUAGUAUAACAAAAUGUGAUUUACAAGGUAGAAUGUCACAAACACUUGUUUGUGACAUUCAUAGAGUUCUCUUGAAAUCUCAUUCUUUUUUUCCAUUUUUCAUGCUUGUUGCUUUUGAAGGUGGCAGCAUUUUUAGAGCUUUUUUGUUGCUUAUGUCUUGUCCUUUACUUAUGAUUUGUGAUUAUGAGUUUAAGCUAAAGAUUAUGACUUUUAUUACUUUUUGUGGUUUAAAAAUAAAGGACAUGGAAAAUGUUUCAAGGGUUGUUUUACCAAAGUUUUAUUUAGAGAAUCUUAAUGUUAAAGUUUAUGAGGUUUUGGCUUCAACAGGGUCAAAGGUUGUCAUCACAAGUGUUCCUAGAGUUAUGGUUGAAGGAUUCUUGAAGGAAUAUUUGAGUGUCGGUCAUGUUAUAGGGACAGAGUUGCACACUUUUGGUUGCUACUUCACUGGUUUUCUCACUAGCUCUGGCUUAGUGGUUAGACAUAGAGCACUUGAUGAUUAUUUUGGUGAUAGAAAACCUGAUAUUGGAAUUGGAACUUCAAGUUUAUAUGAUCAUCUUUUCAUUUCAUCUUGCAAGGUAAGUUUGAAUUUAGGUCCUAUGUUUUAAAGGUUAAUACAAUGUCUAAACUCCCUCAUAAUAUGUUUUCCUUAAAAACCAGAUGGUUGAUACAAAACACUCUCUUAAAUCCUUGGAUGAAGGGGUGCAUAUUUUUAACUUAUUUUAUUGUUUAAUGAAAUUAAAAAAAUUAUUGUUUUGGUUCCCUGAGCGGUGAGUCUAGCUCAGUUGGUAGGAAAAUUACAUUAUUAUAUGCAGGAGUCGGGGUUUGAACUCCUAAACACUCCACUUAUUCACAUUUAAGAUGUAAUUUCUAGUCACUAAGCUACUAAACAAAAAAUAAUUAUAGUUUUGUCAUUUCUACAUAAACAAAUAUAACUAUAUUUUUUAAGUCAAAAAAAUAAUUAUCUUUUUAAAAUAAACGCAUAAUUUUUUUUUUUAUCUUUCAUGAUUUUUCAGACCUCUAAUAAAUUAUAAUUUAUUUUUAAGUUACUAUGAUAUAGAUAUGAAAUUACUGUGCCACAAGUGUAGCUCAAAUGAUAGUUAUCAUAGACAUCGUUGGAGUGGCUAGGAUUCGAACUCAGGAUUCCACAUUUCUCUACAUUUAAAUGUGUGAGAGUCAAAUCACUAGGUUACUUGAAAAAAAAUUAAAUUACUACCUCCAUUUAAAAGUGACUAAUCUUUGACGGGAAGUCUUAGUUACAUAAAGUGAAUUCUUUCAUUCCAACUAAAUUUUAUCAAUAUGCAAAAUAAGAUAUCAAACUCUUCACUAUCCGUUUAAGAGAGACCCAAAUUUCUUACUAUUUUAACUAAUUCAUUGAUAAUAAAUUAUAAUAUUUAUCACUUGAAAUAUAAGUGAGAAAUAUCACUAAUCGUCAAUAACUAAAAAUUAGAAACAAAGAUAGUAAAGAAAAAUGAGAACGGGAAAAAUAGAAAUCUAGAAAAGUUUUCUAAACGAGUAAUCCUAUGUGGGUUUUUUUUUUUUAAAUCAACUUAUACGUAUAUUUGAACUUUUUUUUGUGAUCAUGUUUAGUAAAUUAUAAAAAUAUUUCUGACAAAAGGUUAAUUUCUUUUAAAGAGGGAAGAAUUAAGUAUGAAAUUUUAUAUUUUUUCGCUUAAAUUAAUACUUUCUUAAAAAAAAUAGUAUAAUGUCAUUUGAUGCAAACAAGUAUAAGGGUAUCCUUCCGGCUGUAUGUCUGUGAGAUCACAAUCACUGACUACGUUUUUGAAGCCAUUACAAAGCCAAUUAGGGAGAGGUGGUAGAGACCCUUUUUUGUCGUCUUGUGAUAGUAAAUCAUUGAAGUCACCAACGAUACACCAAGGUAACUCAGACAUAUUUCUCAAUUCUCUCAACAAGUCUCAUGCUUGUCUCCUUCCUCCUCUUUCAGGAUAGUCAUAAUAACAUGUUAAUCUUGAUUCUUCUCCCUCAUUCUCUUCCACUACUAAGUUAAUAAAAUUCCGUGAAUAAUUCAAAACUCUGCAUUUUAUGGUAUCUCUCCACAUGACAGACAAUCCUCCACUCCUCCCCUCCACAUCAACAUACAAACAAGAAUUAAAGUUUAUGUUCACACGAACACGUUCCAUAGUUUGGGUUUUAGAUAAAGUUUCAGACAAAAAAAGAAUAUCUUGUUUGUGGCAUUGAACAAUAUUUCGAAGAUUAGGAAUUGCACUCGGAGUGCUCAACCCCCGACAAUUCCAACUGAGGAUUUUCAUUGAUCCCUAUAGUCUUGGCUGCCAGGACCUGCCGCUAAAAAAUGCUCAAACAUAUUCAGAUUCACCCGGUUUGUGUUUUCCUCCUCUCUUCUUCUCUUUUUUAAAAUCGAAAAUUCAUGUAAAUCAUUUAAUUCAUUUAUUGCUAAUGGGGGAAGAAUGAAUAUAUGACACAUGUACAUUUUGCUUUGAAAAAAGGGUCUAAAUAAUAUUAGUAUAGAUAACUACCCCCUCUGUUCCUUAUAAUAAGUAACACUUUGACGGAAAAAUUUGAUCUUUUUUAUAUGAAAUUUUGACUAAUUUUCAAAUGUUUUAAAUGUUCAAUUUCACUUAUGCCCUUAUUUAUUAUGAGAGAGAAUUUAAAAAUAAGUAAGUUAGUUGAAUAAAGAGGAAUUAAAUAAGGGUAUACAUACAACAAUUUAAAUUUAUAAGAGUAUUAAAUGAAAAUAACUAUAUUAAAUGUGCUUCUUUGAUCUGUGUGAUUUUUUCAAAUUGUUCCUUAUAAAAAGGAUAAGAGGGAGUAAUUUAGUGUAGAUGUUUUAAUUAUGUUGAUGUAUUAUGUCUAAUUACAGCUCUACAUGAUUAUGACAGGAAAUUUAUGUGGUGAACAGUGAUGAAAACUCAAUCAUGCCAAGGGACAAAUAUCCAAAGCCAAUAAUUUUUCAUGAUGGAAGAUUAGCAUUCUUGCCAACACCCUCAUCAACACUCUACAUGUUCAUGUGGCUACCAUUAGGACUUUUUUUAGCAAUUUAUAGAAUGCUUAUUGGUAGAUUCUUGCCAAUCAAAUUAUCACUUCCAUUAGGAUGUUGGACUGGAUUAGAUCUAAACCUCAAAGGCACUGAACCUAAAAAAACAGAACAAAACAGAGGUGUUCUGUUUGUAUGCACACAUAGGACACUAUUAGAUCCUGUUUUCCUAAGUGCAUUAUUAUUAC